GGUACCGCAUGAAUAAGGACCGGCUAAUUCCGUGCCAGCAGCCGCGGUAAUACGGAAGGUCCGGGCGUUAUCCGGAUUUACUGGGUGUAAAGGGAGCGCAGGCGGGAAAGCAAGUCAGCUGUGAAGACUAUGGGCUUAACCCAUAGACUGCAGUUGAAACUGUUUUUCUUGAGUGGAGUAGAGGUAAGCGGAAUUCCGAGUGUAGCGGUGAAAUGCGUAGAGAUUCGGAGGAACACCAGUGGCGAAGGCGGCUUACUGGGCUCUAACUGACGCUGAGGCUCGAAAGUGUGGGGAGCAAACAGGAUUAGAUACCCUGGUAGUCCACACUGUAAACGAUGAUUACUAGGUGUGGGAGGUCUGACCCCUUCCGUGCCGCAGUUAACGCAAUAAGUAAUCCACCUGGGGAGUACGACCGCAAGGUUGAAACUCAAAGGAAUUGACGGGGGCCCGCACAAGCAGUGGAUUAUGUGGUUUAAUUCGAAGCAACGCGAAGAACCUUACCAGGUCUUGACAUCCAACUAACGAACUAGAGAUAGAUUAGGUGCCCUUCGGGGAAAGUUGAGACAGGUGGUGCAUGGUUGUCGUCAGCUCGUGUCGUGAGAUGUUGGGUUAAGUCCCGCAACGAGCGCAACCCCUGCCAUUAGUUGCUACGCAAGAGCACUCUAAUGGGACCGCUACCGACAAGGUGGAGGAAGGUGGGGACGACGUCAAAUCAUCAUGCCCCUUAUGACCUGGGCUACACACGUAAUACAAUGGCCGUUAACAGAAGGAAGCGAAGGCGCGAGCCGGAGCAAACCCCCAAAAACGGUCUCAGUUCGGAUUGCAGGCUGCAACUCGCCUGCAUGAAGUCGGAAUUGCUAGUAAUCGCGGAUCAGCAUGCCGCGGUGAAUACGUUCCCGGGCCUUGCACACACCGCCCGUCA
This 922-nucleotide ribosomal RNA is filed under the name uncultured bacterium. RNAcentral's name for it is "bacterial SSU rRNA". It matches the Rfam family "Bacterial small subunit ribosomal RNA", at positions 474 to 1399 of the family's 1533-position model. The record is from RNAcentral.